GAUGAACGCUGGCGGCGUGCCUAAUACAUGCAAGUCGAGCGAACGGACGAGAAGCUUGCUUCUCUGAUGUUAGCGGCGGACGGGUGAGUAACACGUGGAUAACCUGCCUAUAAGACUGGGAUAACUUCGGGAAACCGGAGCUAAUACCGGAUGAUAUUUUGAACCGCAUGGUUCAAAAGUGAAAGACGGUCUUGCUGUCACUUAUAGAUGGAUCCGCGCUGCAUUAGCUAGUUGGUAAGGUAACGGCUUACCAAGGCAACGAUGCAUAGCCGACCUGAGAGGGUGAUCGGCCACACUGGAACUGAGACACGGUCCAGACUCCUACGGGAGGCAGCAGUAGGGAAUCUUCCGCAAUGGGCGAAAGCCUGACGGAGCAACGCCGCGUGAGUGAUGAAGGUCUUCGGACCGUAAAACUCUGUUAUUAGGGAAGAACAUAUGUGUAAGUAACUGUGCACAUCUUGACGGUACCUAAUCAGAAAGCCACGGCUAACUACGUG
Molecule: ribosomal RNA, 497 nt
Filed under: uncultured bacterium
Lineage: Bacteria
Description: partial 16S ribosomal RNA
Rfam family: Bacterial small subunit ribosomal RNA
Source: RNAcentral